RNAcentral lists this long non-coding RNA (661 nucleotides) under Aquilegia coerulea. Its description in RNAcentral is "long non-coding RNA (ACOE_LNC001030)". Lineage: Eukaryota; Viridiplantae; Streptophyta; Magnoliopsida; Ranunculales; Ranunculaceae. The record is from RNAcentral.
UCCAUGCAUCUUACCCUCGUCAGCACACAAUGAUCGGAGAAUUGCAGCGCAUACUCGCUCAGAUAGAUAUGGAGAAGCCAUGGAGAACCUUGCUUAGAAUGAGAAUGGACAUGAAUCUACUCUGUAACUGGGUUGAUUUGUUGCUUCUCGUCUCCCCAUACAAGCUAAGUCAGCAGCCACCCACUUUCCUUAAAUGGCAAUUAAGAGGUUAUAGUUCUAGGUACUAGGUACUAGGUGGCUGUACUUAUCUCCCCCUUUGGGCAUAAUUGUAACUCUCUAUUUCUUUACUAAUGAAAAUCCAAAAAGGUUAAAAUUAAAAAAAAAAAAAAAAGUGCUUCAAGUCUGACUCUCCUUUGUAACUGUUUUGUUGUGUCAUGUUUGUACAAGAGUUAAAGAAUUUUAGACUAAUGAGCUCCAUUGUUCUAGAAACGUAGCUUUUAUCAAUACAUUGAUUAGCCAUUGAAGUCUGAUGUAUGUGUAUUAUUGCCAAUGUUUACAUGUAUGAUUACAAAUAUAGCUAAAAGAAAAGGAACAAAGCAAAAGACACCGUUUAAAGUGUUAUAUUUUAAUGUUUUGUUGUAAAUUUUAGUGUACUUUUGGAUGUUGUUUUACCCGGCUGUGGUUCUUUUGAUAUAGUUCAAACUUCCCGUUUGGUGCUUAC